Brassica napus (rape) is the source of this 100-nucleotide non-coding RNA. NCBI's taxonomy places the organism in Eukaryota, Viridiplantae, Streptophyta, Magnoliopsida, Brassicales, Brassicaceae. The record is from Rfam.
AGAAAAUGAUAUUGAGCCAAAGAUGACUUGCUGACUAACCAACCAAUCUAAAACUGGUAUUGGUGAACGGCAAGUUGACUUUGGUUCUGUUUCCUUCUCU